GGGCCCUGGGCGGCGGAGCCACAGUUGUCACUCAUGCGAGUGUGGCGGGUGUUGCUGUUGUUAUCCGCACUUCCGGAGCACUUUCAAGCUUGAGUUUGAGCGUGUGACAAUUCAAUCGAGAUCACUGGAGCUAGGUUGACUUUGCGUUGUGAACCGAAACUUUCGUAUACACAGUGGCUCUGUUGGACGGCUCUAGUAGGACUCGCCCUGGUUACAGAGGUUUCUCGUCGUCCUGAGUCUAGUUUUUUCAGAACGUGGUGUGUUGAUUGCGAAAUUGGUUAUGUCC
This 286-nucleotide long non-coding RNA is filed under the name Physcomitrium patens. RNAcentral's name for it is "long non-coding RNA (PPAT_LNC004069)". Lineage: Eukaryota; Viridiplantae; Streptophyta; Bryopsida; Funariales; Funariaceae. The record is from RNAcentral.